AACGAACGCUGGCGGCAUGCCUAACACAUGCAAGUCGAACGAGACCUUCGGGUCUAGUGGCGCACGGGUGCGUAACGCGUGGGAACCUUCCCUUAGGUUCGGAAUAACUCCCCGAAAGGGGUGCUAAUACCGGAUAAUGUCUUCGGACCAAAGAUUUAUCGCCUUUGGAUGGGCCCGCGUUGGAUUAGCUAGUUGGUAGGGUAAAAGCCUACCAAGGCGACGAUCCAUAGCUGGUCUGAGAGGAUGAUCAGCCACACUGGGACUGGGACACGGCCCAGGCUCCUACGGGAGGGAGCAGUGGGGGAUAAUGGAAAAUGGGGGGAAGCCUGAUCCAGCAAUGCCGCGUGAGUGAUUAAGGCCUUAGGGUUGUAAAACUCUUUUACCCGGGAAGAUAAUGAAAGUAACGGGAGAAUAAGCUCCGGCUAAACCCGUG
This 433-nucleotide ribosomal RNA is filed under the name uncultured bacterium. RNAcentral describes it as "partial 16S ribosomal RNA". It matches the Rfam family "Bacterial small subunit ribosomal RNA", at positions 29 to 507 of the family's 1533-position model. The record is from RNAcentral.